Molecule: ribosomal RNA, 226 nt
Filed under: uncultured bacterium
Lineage: Bacteria
Description: partial 16S ribosomal RNA
Rfam family: Bacterial small subunit ribosomal RNA
Source: RNAcentral
UGCGUAACACGUAUGUAGUCUGCCCAUCACUGGAGGAUAGCCCGGAGAAAUCCGGAUUAAUACUCCAUAAUAAACGAAGGGGCAUCUCUUUGUUUUGAAAGCUCCGGCGGUGAUGGAUGAACAUGCGACUGAUUAGUUUGUUGGUGAGGUAACGGCUCACCAAGACUACGAUCAGUAGGGGUACUGAGAGGUUAAACCCCCACACUGGUACUGAGACACGGACCAG